This 227-nucleotide ribosomal RNA is filed under the name uncultured bacterium. RNAcentral describes it as "partial 16S ribosomal RNA". It matches the Rfam family "Bacterial small subunit ribosomal RNA", at positions 114 to 334 of the family's 1533-position model. The record is from RNAcentral.
AACGUGGGUAACCUGCCCAUCAGAGGGGGAUAACAUUCGGAAACGGAUGCUAAAACCGCAUAGGUCUUCGAACCGCAUGGUUUGAAGAGGAAAAGAGGCGCAAGCUUCUGCUGAUGGAUGGGCCCGCGGUGCAUUAGCUAGUUGGUGAGGUAACGGCUCACCAAGGCCGUGAUGCAUAGCCGACCUGAGAGGGUGAUCGGCCACAUUGGGACUGAGACACGGCCCAA